RNAcentral lists this transfer RNA (723 nucleotides) under Vibrio aestuarianus. RNAcentral describes it as "partial 16S-23S ribosomal RNA intergenic spacer". The stretch from base 171 to 243 matches the Rfam family "tRNA". The record is from RNAcentral. Lineage: Bacteria; Pseudomonadati; Pseudomonadota; Gammaproteobacteria; Vibrionales; Vibrionaceae.
CCUUAUACGAUGAUUACACUGAUGAGUGUCCACACAGAUUGAUGGUUUAUACAGUUUUAGAGAAAGAAUGUUCCCAAACAUUCGCCACUUAGUGUCCCGUUCGUCUAGAGGCCUAGGACACCGCCCUUUCACGGCGGUAACAGGGGUCCGACUCCCCUACGGGAUACCAUGGGUCGUUAGCUCAGUUGGUAGAGCAGUUGACUUUUAAUCAAUUGGUCGCAGGUUCGAAUCCUGCACGACCCACCAUUUCCUCCCACGGAAAUGCUUACUUUAGGUAAGAAAACAAUGUGGGCGAUUAGCUCAGUUGGGAGAGCACCUGCCUUACAAGCAGGGGGUCACUGGUUCGAGCCCGGUAUCGCCCACCACUCUCUAAGGAUUUUUGGAUGCACACUUCCAAACCAGAUUAAGUAAUUGAACUGGUUGGUUUGUUUGACGCUGAAAGUCAUUAGAAAGUGAUUCAUUCCUUUGGGAAUAACACUCGCUCUUUAACAAUUUGGAAAGCUGACUGAUAACAACGUGAUUUGUUGUUAUCAAAUAAAAGUUCUCAAUAUCAAUACGGUUACGUGUUGAUACCAAACACAUUCAAGUGUUCUUGGGAAAGCUUACUGCGGUAAGUUUUCAAAAUUGAGUCCGGCAAGAUCGAAAUGUCUCUCGCUCAUUCAAUAAAGAGAGACACUAAACCUUGGUGACUUGUCAUCAACACGAAACUUCUUCGGGUUGUAU